This is a small nucleolar RNA of Arabidopsis lyrata subsp. lyrata, 106 nucleotides long. It matches the Rfam family "Plant small nucleolar RNA R71". From Rfam's summary of the family: R71 is a member of the C/D box family of snoRNAs containing the C (UGAUGA) and D (CUGA) box motifs. Multiple nearly identical copies of this snoRNA have been identified in Arabidopsis, and it is thought to function as a 2'-O-ribose methylation guide for 18S ribosomal RNA. Lineage: Eukaryota; Viridiplantae; Streptophyta; Magnoliopsida; Brassicales; Brassicaceae. The record is from Rfam.
AAUCCAUGAUGAGGGAAAUCUCGAGUAUAUCCCUUAAUUCUUCCCCAUGCUUCAUGAAAACUUUCAUAGACUCCUUCCUUAAACCCCAUUAUGUCAUUUCUCAUUU